Molecule: ribosomal RNA, 385 nt
Filed under: Brevibacillus laterosporus
Lineage: Bacteria; Bacillati; Bacillota; Bacilli; Caryophanales; Paenibacillaceae
Description: bacterial SSU rRNA
Rfam family: Bacterial small subunit ribosomal RNA
Source: RNAcentral
UUAAUGGAGAGUUUGAUCCUGGCUCAGGACGAACGCUGGCGGCGUGCCUAAUACAUGCAAGUCGAGCGAGGGUCUUCGGACCCUAGCGGCGGACGGGUGAGUAACACGUAGGCAACCUGCCUGUAAGACUGGGAUAACAUAGGGAAACUUAUGCUAAUACCGGAUAGGGUUUUGCUUCGCCUGAAGCGAAACGGAAAGAUGGCGCAAGCUAUCACUUACAGAUGGGCCUGCGGCGCAUUAGCUAGUUGGUGAGGUAACGGCUCACCAAGGCAACGAUGCGUAGCCGACCUGAGAGGGUGACCGGCCACACUGGGACUGAGACACGGCCCAGACUCCUACGGGAGGCAGCAGUAGGGAAUUUUCCACAAUGGACGAAAGUCUGAUG